CAACGUUAUAUUUAGGAUUUGUAGACUGCAGAGUCGCAAGAAAAUAACUGCAUCAAGGAAAGAAAUCUGGUGGAAUCAUAAACCAUGAGAAUGCAAAGCCUGAAUCAUCAGAGCCCGCAGAAGCCUGGGAUUUAUUCCACCAGCAGUCACUGCAGCUCAUCCAUUUGUUGGUGUUUGGGGUAUUGCCUUGGCGUUGAAGGAGUUUAUGCUUCAAUGUUGGUUUGUUUACCGAGGCAGUAACUGCAGCAUGUGAGAAUGACUGAAGCUGUGAAAUGGUUCUUAGUACCUUAGAAGACAGAUUUCAAACUGUAUUGUUUUGAACUGCGCUUCCUCCUUCUGGCACCGGUGCUGCUGAAAGCUCCAAAGAUAUUAACUCCCAGGAAUUUGACUAUUGUUCAGAUGUGGCUUUCCACACGAUGAUUCACACCAUUCUCAUCUUGUGCAUCCUGGCGUUCAAGAGAUUAUGAGUCCCUUGCUCCUAAGUACCACUCUAGAAUACAAAAUGCCCCAAGGCAAGAUGGCAAAGCAUAAGGCUGUGACACCCCCAGUGCUGCCCACAGCAAGCUCCUCCUGUGGCAGCUGAAAGCCUCCCAAAGGGCUACCAAGGUUUAUGGCUCCAAGAUAUGGUGUUGCUUCUCUCUACAAGACCAGGUAGGACAUGCAACGUCAGUGGUAUCAACGGUGUCAAGGGUUGGCUCAGGUAAUUUUGCCUUCCAGUGAAACCAAAACAUCAUGUCUUCAUUUUGUAUUUGAGAUGGAGAGAAACUUUAAUGACUUUCAGUUACUUGCAUUUGGGCGGAGAAGACAAGAUCCUUGUCAUGGCAUCUCAAGGGACAGCAGAGCACACACGGUCCAUGUCUCCUGGCUCCCUCAAACAGAAGGGCACGUAUACUGUUCAAGAAGAGCCACUUUCUUCACAAGUCAACACAGUGCCAUAGUGUCCUCAGCGAGCAGGAAGGAGGGAUGGGGCAAAAGAGCGUUUCAGAGAAAGAGAUGAGAGCAGUGGUGACAUUUAUUUCAAGACCUUCACGAUGAAAGGUUCCUCGUGCUCUGAGGACUCAUUCAUGCCAUUUCAGAGCUGGCAUUCAACCAGGGCUUAAUCUGGUGCAGAAUGAAAUCAGGCAUUAUGAAGAGAUGGAUGGUUGUAAUUGAAAUAAUAACAUAAAUAUAAUUGAAAUAUAAAUAUAUGUGCGCACACACACGCACAGUGUGUAAAACCUUCAUGGAAGCAACAAUAACCUUUCAGCUCCGCGAGCCAACCAGCCUAUUCCUGUAACCGCCUCUAAUCUGUCUAUUUGCACCUGGGGUUCUUUAAGGAAACGCAGAGUUGUAAUUAACUGCGGGUGUGGAGAAGUCAUAUGAGUGGGAUAUUCACACUGCAAGACCAGAGCGUGCAUUUGCACCGGGUCACGAGCAUAGAGAGAGCAGGCGCGCCAGCUCCAUCCCCAGAGGACGAUUUACGUGCUCUCCGUCAUCAAAUGGCCACACAGCACAACUCACAGAUUUCCUCCAG
Molecule: long non-coding RNA, 1513 nt
Organism: Gallus gallus (chicken)
Lineage: Eukaryota; Metazoa; Chordata; Aves; Galliformes; Phasianidae
Source: Ensembl